Anopheles merus is the source of this 1385-nucleotide long non-coding RNA. RefSeq lists it as uncharacterized. Lineage: Eukaryota; Metazoa; Arthropoda; Insecta; Diptera; Culicidae. The record is from RefSeq and is a predicted model, not a curated record. The transcript is spliced from 2 exons.
CGCCAUCUCGCUCGCACUCCCAUGCACCGCAGGUACGCCGCGCCGCGUUGUGAGCUGUGAGGCGCGAGCGCACCAGGGCCGGGCGGCACUCUCCCGAACGGCAGCAGCCGAACGGAACCCGAACGUUCGACUCUCCGAAUCGCCGAUGCGGUGCGUGCUACGGUUGGGAACAGCGGGCGCCCAGCACCAAGCGUUUAGUUUCUUGUUUUUCUCCUAACUGAACAGCCACGACGGAACGGAUCGUCCGUGACGCUGCACCGUGUUUUUGUCGCACGACGCGUUCGCCAGCAAGAGAAGGCACAACGACUCACAGGAGAAGGUGUAAAUUGCAGAACUUUUAAAACGGAGCGUUUUGUUCGUCCCACCUGAAAAAGAAAACAAAGACAAAAACGUUCACCUUCCAAUAGUGAAGCGGAUUUUGAGCUGGACUCACUGGACCGUUCGGAGCAGAGACAGAGAAGACGCCUGUAUCCUGGCUGCCGCAAACCCGCACAUCGACAAAGCGGUGCAAUCCCGUGUCGCUUACCAAUGUCAAACGAUUGUGGAUAAGAGCGUGUGUGGUGCAGCCACACGUUAACGGGACGCUUGCCAGCAGAAUCUCGGCUGGUGCAGUGAUAGUGUAGUGUAGUAGGCUGGUCCAGUUUUGUUGACUGGGUAGCCGUCGCCGUCAGCACUAAACAAAACAAGCAAGGAUGUGAGCAACCCGUAGUGCGUACUGCUCGGUGUGUCUGUGUGUGUGUGUGCGCGCGCGUGUGUUAGUGCUUACCACGGCUAGUGGAACAACAAAAAAGAGAGAAAGAGAAGGCACAAAAAAGUCGCAACAAGUGCAUGUGAAAGGAAAAGGCCAAAAAAAAGGAAGUGAUUUUGCUGUGUGCGUGUGUGAUUCACUCUGUUCUUGCCGCAAAAGAGAAGUAGCAGCAGUAGUAGUAGUAGUAGUACCGUGAUUUACCGAAGGGUGUGUACGUGUGUCGUUUGGGCGGCAGUGUGUGGUAAGUGUUUGUGCAAGUGCUGUCACCAGGCGCAAAGGAAGUGCAAUAAGUAAAUCGGGUUGCGUGCCUCCUCUAACCCUUCCCGCUAGUGUCCACCUGUGUGUGUGUGUGUUUGUAUUUAUGUGUCACAUUCAGUAGUGUGUACGUGCGCGUGUGUGUGCGCUAUGAAGUAAGUGGUGUACAUCUGUGCGUUUGUGGGUGUGUAUGCGUGUGCGUUUGUGUUGAGGAAGGGCCCAGACGGCGAUAAGCAAGAUCGGAUCGCAAAACAUACGACAGGCGGAACAGCUGAAAACGCUGAAAUAGCGGAAGAAGAAAAAGUAAACCCCGUGAGAGGAAAGAAAGAAAAAGACCGGAGGACGGAAACGCUUUUGGGGGAAGCGCGAGACACAAAUAAUA